This 253-nucleotide ribosomal RNA is filed under the name uncultured bacterium. RNAcentral describes it as "partial 16S ribosomal RNA". It matches the Rfam family "Bacterial small subunit ribosomal RNA", at positions 524 to 776 of the family's 1533-position model. The record is from RNAcentral.
UACGUAGGGCGCAAGCGUUGUCCGGAAUUAUUGGGCGUAAAGAGCUCGUAGGCGGCUUGUCACGUCGAUUGUGAAAGCCCGAGGCUUAACCUCGGGUCUGCAGUCGAUACGGGCUAGCUAGAGUGUGGUAGGGGAGAUCGGAAUUCCUGGUGUAGCGGUGAAAUGCGCAGAUAUCAGGAGGAACACCGGUGGCGAAGGCGGAUCUCUGGGCCUUACCUGACGCUCAGGCGCGAAAGCUAGGGGAGCGAACUGG